GUGGCUUGCCUGGGGGGAGGGGGGGGCUGGGGCUGGAGCGAGGAGCCCAUUGGGCACGACCGCACCAACCCUAGCUCCCGAUCCAAAGCCACGCACUCCUCCCUCCCCCUCUCACAGCCGCCACACCCCAUUCCUCUCUUCCUCCUCCCUCCUUCCCAGAUCCCUGCCACCGCCACACCGAGUCGGCCGAUGGUGAGGUGAAAGAGGAGGGUAGGCGACCCGUCGCGAUGGGAUGAGGCUACAGGGAAGAGGGUCAUGUCGCGUGGUGGCCCAGAUGCGGCCGCCCCAUGGCUGGCCUCGACGAGCACGGCCUCGAUCCGGCCUCAGCCGGAGGACCUCGAGCCGAGGAGUGCGGCCUCGAUCGGGACUCGGCAUCUGGGGCGACGACGGAGGAGGAGGGGAAAGCAGGGGAGCAGCAGCCAGCAUCUGGGGCGGCGGCGGCUGGACUCUUCUCCUGUCUCGCCUCGGCCGCCUCCUCUCCUCCCCGCGUCGUCGGCCCCUCCCUCCUCCUCCCUCCUUCGUCCUCACAGCCGACCAUCUCCGUCACUUGGGCCCCAUGGCAACGACAGGGUCUUCCGGUCGGAAUUUAGACGAGGAAAAGGUGAAAUCGAGCGUCUCGAUGGUGCCAUGACUGAUACACGGCGACGGCUAGCGUCUAUGAGCGCCACACAUGGUGCAGCAGGCUCGGCGGGCAGCGGGCGCGGCAGGCUCGGCAGGCAGCGGGCGCAGCGGUCAAGGCCAGGGGUGCGGAUUGGGGGAGAUGCGCACACGAGGAGCGACGGCGACCGCUUCUGCUGCCAACACCGAAGUGAGCUUCACCCAAUCUCUUUCUUACUCUAUCCGUGCGGCCUCCUCCCCUUGGCCCCUGAUUCAUCGAUGAGGCAUGCCAUGGUUGUGUGUUCGCAAACCCUUCCCUUUUAUCCUCUUCUCAGGAAACGAGGCAUGAGGAGACGAUGCUCUUCUGCAGCCUCAUAGUUUCUCUUUGAUUUUAGCUAUAUGUAGCCACUUUUCUUGAUUAAGUUCAGAAAAUGGCAAUGGGUGGUUGAAUAGUUCAAGUUGGUUCAUAUGCUUUGUGUAAAAUUGUUUUCAUAGAUCAUGUUAUGCACUUAGAAUGCAUCCAAUCAUUUUUUACUUCGCAAGAUGAUGUUGCGAGCGUACAUUUAGACUGGACAGAGAUAGCAAUAUACCAAGAGUUCUAAGAAUUGGAUUCAUAAAAGCAGGGAUGUUAUUGAUUCAUCUAAGCUGCUCUAUCUAAUUGUAUUUUAUUAAGACCCUGCCAUUUUAAAUAUAGCUUUUACAUUCCUAUUUGGUAAAUAAGUGCUAACAGAAAGACGGAAACACACUUUUUAAAAUGUUUUGUGCUAGGUAAAUGAUGCUGCACAACAAAAUACGAUUGCCUUUGUGUCUUACAUAACUCAUUUGUGUGUAUUCAGGCCAUACUGCCAGUACAUUCCAAGUGGAAUGGAGUACCCAGUUUUGUCCAGAAAGUUGUGGCCUUCCGGUGGUUCUUUUGCAAUGAGGGUCUCAAUGCUAACCAUAUUGCAUUUCCAUUUUCAGGGUGUCCUUUUACUGGGUACCCACCCUCCAGUGCAUAUAUUUGCAUGAUGAUGUAAUGUCAGACCAACUUUCUGGUUUAAGUCCAUUGUUUGGCGCCAACGUGCAUUUGGUGUUGAUUGCUGGCUGGCCGACUGCGGUGUGCUACCGGUGAUGAGAUCCAGGAGGAGGUGGCGGCGAACAGGGAGUCGACGUAGGGAUGAACUUCCGAUUAAGAUGCAGAGCUGCUGUUUUUAUCAUGUUGUUCUUAUCCUGCUCACUGUGAUAUUUGUGGAAAAUAUUUGCACUGUGGUUUGGUUAAGAUAUAGAGCUACUAUUUUUGUUCUGCAUUACCUCGUGGGUCUUAUUAUAUGGAUUAAGUACAAGGCAUCUGUGGUUCAAAAGUUUUUAGUAACUUUUGUUUAUCUUUACUGUCUGGUGUCGAAUUGACCGAUUAGUCGGUUGAGUUGAUUGUAAAUGAUUGCCCAAUGUGGUUAUCUGAAGAUUGUAGUUUACCAUAUAUGCUUACUACAAAAUGCUUAUUUCGCUUCACAUGUAAGGCUGUAACAGGAUGCAUUUCUCUCACCAGGACCUUUUUGCUUGCAUUCUCGUGUCUUUUGGCAAGGAGAAAAUUAUCAUUUGGAGGGGAAAAGACAGAUGAAAACAUGCAAGAUAGUAUAUGCAAUUGACAUACCCUUCAGUUCUUGAAUCAGAGUUCAGUGGUGAAGAACACUACAAUUUUUUGGUUGAUGGAUUGGUCUGAAUAUAUUGUAAGGGAUUUUGCAUGAAGUGGUUAUUCAAAGAAUGGACCCGAUUUUAUGAUUUUACUGAAUGGAUAUGGUAUAACCUCCAUGAUAUUUGAGUGGUCCAGAAUCAAGACGCCCCGAGAAUUUUACCCUUCGAUGAACAAUGCAAGAUUUUGCCUAUUCUCUGAGAUGGAUGAUGAUGAGCGGUGCAACCGAAAAUUCAGAGCUGGGCUUUACACACUUCAGUGAUUAAGUGAAGUUCCAGUUUUUCUUCUGUACCCUAUUACUGCUCUCUUGUACAGAGAGCAGUGAGUUUAUAUUAGCUAAAUGUUAGAUUGGAAUGCAGGAGUAGCAUGACAACACCAAGGUAGAGACCUGAAGAGAAGCAAGGGGAUGGACCAAGGAAACUAGAACUGUGUUGUCGUGAUGUGGGUCGUGUCGUCUUCGUCUAUCUCCAUGGAGGCAUAUAUACAUAGGUUAGGUAUAGGAAAGGAGACCGUCUCCAUGGAACUCUGACUGAUGUGUAAUGUCCUCAUAGGACUGGACCGUUUACAGAGGGAGUACUUGAAAAUAGAUUCUUUAUAUAUUGUUUGGUUCCAUCAGCCACAUAACCUAAAUUAGCAAUUAGGUAUCUAAACAGUGUAGUGUAACCAUUGUGCUUGCUGCAGUUUUACUUUAGUGUUGAAAUGUUUUUGUUGGCUUGUUCUGUACUACGAAAUAUUUUUGUUUUCCCAGCCAUUGUUUUCUAAAUCCUAUCAACAUAUUACCUGAUAUGGCCUUUGAAGUUUC
Long non-coding RNA from Triticum aestivum (bread wheat), 3068 nucleotides. RefSeq lists it as uncharacterized. Lineage: Eukaryota; Viridiplantae; Streptophyta; Magnoliopsida; Poales; Poaceae. The record is from RefSeq and is a predicted model, not a curated record. The transcript has 3 exons.